GCUAUUUAGACAUCACUAUGUGUUUUCAGGAAGCGGAGCAAAAGGCAACAAGCUUAAAGAGCAUUGAGUGGGAUUUACUAUAAAAAAGAUGAGAUUUCCUGCACUAGGAGUUGUUAAAUCCAGGAAUAAGAGACAGAAGGAAGCUGUACUUUCUUUUGAAGGGGUAGAGAAUUAAGGUAGCUUCUCAUCUGUCAGGAAAGUUUAAGGCAGGGUGAAUGGAUUAGGUGACCUUUCAAAAUUACUUCCAUCCCAGGGUUUAUGAUGUCAGUAUAAACCAGCAGCCCCAGCUGGAAACCUGGCCAGGGACCCCCCGGCUCCUGCACGCGUUUGUGCUUUCGCUGAAAGCUCAGCCAGGUAACGUGCUAGAGAAACUGACGGUCACUAGCGCAAGCUUGGAGUCAGAGAGCUUGGGUUCUAAAACUGCUGAGUUUCAGCGUCUUCAGUCACGAAAGAUAAUUACAUCUCUCCCCCCAAACUGUAAGCUGCUGCUGCUGCUGCUGCUGUCACUUCAGUAAUGUCCGACUCUGUGCGACCCCAUAGAUGACAGCCCACCAGGAUCCCCCGUCCCUGGGAUUCUGCAGGCAAGAAUACUGGAAUGGGGUGCCAUUGCCUUCUCCGAAACUGUAAGCUACUGAAUGGCAAAUGCUCUAUUAGCUUUUUGUCUUUGUAUUUCUAGUGCCUGACAAACAUUCAGCUUUUUGAGUGAUGGAGUCAAUGAAUGGAACUAAGGGACUGAACUAAGAGUUUAUCUCCAAGAGAACUGUUCUCUAUUUUCAUAUUAGACACCAAAAUAAUGGGAUAAAAAUAUUAAAUUUCUUAUUCACUAUGGGAGUAUCAGACACCUCAUUUGAACAUAUGAGAGGAGGGCAGUUACCACUUGCUUAAUAUUCACUGACCAGCUAACUCUAUGUCUUUUGGUAUUAAGCAACUUUGGAACAAUUAUCACAUCAUGUAAGUUGCCCCUGAAUUACUUUGCCCUUUCUAGGCUUUUGUGUGUUUCUUUGUUUAUUGUAUAUAAACCCCAAGUAAACACUGAUCAACCGCACGCACACAUCACCCUUGUUCUUUAAUAGAGACAGAGGUAAUUCAUCAAGUAAAUCUUAUAAUGUCUCGCUUCUUGUUUAUAAGUCCCCUGAUUAACCAUAUCAUUAUUGCUGUUUUCAUAAGGAGACCUAACAUGGUGGAGAAAAGAAGACACAUGAAUACAGCUAACUGAUAAUAAAAGAACUGAUGGAAAAAAAAAAAAAAAAACA
RNAcentral lists this long non-coding RNA (1253 nucleotides) under Bos indicus x Bos taurus (hybrid cattle). RNAcentral's name for it is "lncRNA (ENSBIXG00005030122.1)". Lineage: Eukaryota; Metazoa; Chordata; Mammalia; Artiodactyla; Bovidae. The record is from RNAcentral.